AACGCACGAGACCUGCGGACCUGCGGAAGGAUCAUUAAUGAGAAACUGCCCCUCGCGGGUAGAUCUCCCACCCUUUGUAAACUUACCUUUGUUGCUUUGGCAGGCCCGUCUCCGGACCGCCGGCUUCGGCUGGCCAGUGCCUGCCAGAGGAUUCUAAAACUCUGUCUGUCAGUGUUGUCUGAGUCUAUAUACAAUCGCUAAAACUUUCAACAAUGGAUCUCUAGAUCGGAAGAGCACACG
This 240-nucleotide unclassified non-coding RNA is filed under the name soil metagenome. RNAcentral describes it as "partial contains 5.8S ribosomal RNA, internal transcribed spacer 2, and large subunit ribosomal RNA". The record is from RNAcentral.